Bos taurus (domestic cattle) is the source of this 1019-nucleotide long non-coding RNA. NCBI's taxonomy places the organism in Eukaryota, Metazoa, Chordata, Mammalia, Artiodactyla, Bovidae. The record is from Ensembl.
GAGUAGACUCCGGGAGUUGGUGAUGGACAGGGAGGCCUGGCGUGCUGCAGUCCAUGGGGUCACAAAGAGCUGGACAUGGCUGAGUGGCUGAACUGAACUGAACUGAAGGAGUAAUGUAUACAGAAAUAGAAAUAGAAUGUAUACAUGAAUCUUAUAUACUGUUAUAAACCAAUGUUACCUCAAUAAUAAAUUAAAAUGAAAAAAAGAAGCAGGUGGACUAGAAGGACAUCAGUUCAGUUACUGGAGGUUUAUUUCAUACCAGGCAUGAUUGUAAGCAGUUCUAGGUGCUAACGGAUUUAGUCCUUGUAACAAUCUGAAGAGGAGGCAAUAUUGUUGGGAGACAUGGCUCCCUGGGAAGAUAGGGAUUGUUUCUUCCCCAGAGCAGAGGCAGGUUUGUUUACUUUAUUUUUCUAUUAUAAUAAAGGAUAAUGUCCCCUGCCAGACCAAAGUUUUGGCAGAUUUGCUCACAGCCAUUUCAAGAGUUAGGAUUCUUCAGCUCAGGGUUUUCAGCUGUGAUGCAAAUGCCCCACGUGUGCAGCAUCUACCUGGCUUUGCAUCGCCUCACCCUGGGGAUCUUGCAGGAUAAGGGGAACCAAUUCAAACAUGAAGUUCAUGUCAUCUGCUGUGCUGGGAAUGAUAGCACCCUUUUCCUCUGACCUGAGAGUCUUGUGUCUUCUGCCAGCAUCCAUGGAAGAGAGGCAAGCUGGCUGUUUCUUAGAUGAAGGGAUAUCACAAAUACAGCAAGCUUGGAAGCAAUAAUGUAAAGAUGUCAGAGCCGAAUGUCCUCAAGAAUAAUCAGCAGGAGAGGAAGCAACCUGACUGUCACUCAUUGAUCUGGAGCAUCUACCAUGGACUUUAAAUGAAUGAAAAAAGCACUUUGAUUGUGUUUGAUUUGUUACCUGUUGCAUGUGUUUUUGUAGCACUUCAGCCUAUCCUGACUAAUACAGAGGCAUUCUACAAACGGAAUUGAAAUAGAGACUUUACCAACUAGUGUAGCACUAAACUGCUCAUGCGAAGAG